AGUGAACGCUGGCGGUAGGCCUAACACAUGCCAGUCGAACGGCAGCACAGUAAGAGCUUGCUCUUACGGGUGGCGAGUGGCGGACGGGUGAGGAAUACAUCGGAAUCUACUUUUUCGUGGGGGAUAACGUAGGGAAACUUACGCUAAUACCGCAUACGACCUACGGGUGAAAGCAGGGGAUCUUCGGACCUUGCGCGAUUGAAUGAGCCGAUGUCGGAUUAGCUAGUUGGCGGGGUAAAGGCCCACCAAGGCGACGAUCCGUAGCUGGUCUGAGAGGAUGAUCAGCCCCACUGGAACUGAGACACGGUCCAGACUCCUACGGGAGGCAGCAGUGGGGAAUAUUGGACGAUGGGGGCAAGCCUGAUCCAGCCAUACCGCGUGGGUGAAGAAGGCCUUCGGGUUGUAAAGCCCUUUUGUUGGGAAAGAAAAGCAGCAGGUUAAUACCCCGCUGUUCUGACGGUACCCAAAGAAUAAGCACCGGCUAACUUCGUG
Molecule: ribosomal RNA, 492 nt
Filed under: uncultured bacterium
Lineage: Bacteria
Description: partial 16S ribosomal RNA
Rfam family: Bacterial small subunit ribosomal RNA
Source: RNAcentral